This is a long non-coding RNA of Globicephala melas (long-finned pilot whale), 3206 nucleotides long. RefSeq lists it as uncharacterized. The record is from RefSeq and is a predicted model, not a curated record. Lineage: Eukaryota; Metazoa; Chordata; Mammalia; Artiodactyla; Delphinidae.
AUCCAGCAAAGAGGAUUGUGAUUAAUCCCUUGGGGCUGGCACACUGCCAUGCCACUAAGAAUGCUCUGGGGUUCUGUAGGUAGGGAAGAGGGGCAAAUGGCGGGUAGACAAAUGUGUUGCCACACCCAGUUAACUACAGCAUGUUGUUUGGGCCAAUAAAGCCACAUUCCAAGAGGGCAGUAUUUGUAAACAUCAGUGACAGUGUACCCAUAUGCCAUCAUCUCUGCCUUUCUCUGGAAGAGGUGCCAGUGUCAAAGACCAGCUGUUUGAGAAAUAACAAAUUAGCAUUUGUUUAAUUCCUGUGAUUAAUGACCCUUAGUUUACUUCAUCUUUGUGUAAGAGCAACAGUGUACUGAAUUGUGUCUCAUCUUGUAUUUAAUACGUAGAUCAGUACUUCUUCUCUUAUGUAUCCUGAACUUGAAAAGGUUGGGAAAGAGUAGGGACCCUUCUGGGAUGGAAGAAUUUGUGCCAUGUCCUUUAGUUUUCUGGAAUUGUAAUUACUUGGAAGUGAUGAACUAGGUAAAGAGUGCUUCUUAAAAUCACACAUUGCAAGAUCUCUGAAGCCAGCUAGAACAGCAGGCCUUGGGCUACAUGCCCAGUAUUGAAUAAUAAAACGAGAGACCUUAGAAAUAUAAGUUCCUCUGCCCUGUGUUUUGGGGGUUUUCACCCCUUCAGUUUUUGGGUCUGGGGAAGGGCAACAGAGACUUCUUGCUCACAGCCAAGGCUCUUAAGUUUAUGGGGAGGAAGUAGAGAUGGCAGAAGAACCAGCAGUGAGUACCAAGGAGUUAUUGGGAAAAAAAAUUAGGAGCUGAGUUAGUUGAUGGCAUAGAGUUUAUUUUUAUUUUUUUAAUAAAGUUUCUUUUAUUUAUUUAUAUAUAUAUAUUUGGCUGUGUUGGGUCUUCGUUGCUGCGCAUGGGCUUUCUAUAGGUGCGGCGAGCUGGGGCUACUCUUUGUUGUGGUGCGGGGGCUUCUCAUUGUAGUGGCUUCUCUUGUCAUGGAGCACGGGCUCUGGGCACAUGGGCUUCAGUGGUUGUGGCUCACGGGCUCUAGAGCGCAGGCUCAGUAGUUGUGGCGCACUGGCUUACUUGCUCUGCAGCAUGUGGGAUCUACCUGGACCAGGGAUUGAGCCCGUGUCUCCUGCAUUGGCAGGUGGAUUCUUAACCACUGUGCCAACAGGGAAGUCCCAAUGGCAUAGAGUUUAAAUUCAGCUUUUGCUAAUAAGGUGGAUUUUGACAACUCCUUGGAAGCUGAGUUUAGUUCUUUCCCUUGAGCCUUUCCUCUCCUCCCAGUGGACAGCAUCUUAAAUUCCAGAGAAGAUGAUAAAGCUCCCCUGAGGCAGUUAUGGAAUCUCCAAGUUCCUAUUCCAGUGACUCAGUUUUCAGUAGUUCACUCUUCCUCCAUCUCACUCUCCCUUCACGUGGUAAUUAGAAGGGAUAGGGCACAGUCUCUCUAGCUUGCAUUCCAGGAAGGGUCCCGAAAGGAGCUGAGCUCAGGGUGAGCAGCUCUGAAUGGGUAUAAAAUAUUUCUCAUGUAGCUGCCCAUUGGGUGGGGCCUUAAGCCCUUUUGGAUGUGGCUGAACAUGCCACUGAUACUGUGUGACCCUGUGCUGUGGCACAGAGCUUCCAAGUUCACCAGGUUUAGGAAUCCUUUCCCUGGAAAGCCCAGAGGAUAAUAAUCGGUAACAGACUUCAUCACUGUGACUGGGAAUGAAUCGCACCAGAAACUCAAUAGCAGCUAAUUCACACAGGUCCCUUGACCACCCUGAACGCUACCAACAAUCUUGGUGAUUGCAUCCACAGUAGGUUCUGACCACUAAUGAACUUGACUCAAUCUCUAAGAAGCAGUCUCAGCUGCAGGGAGCUCCAGUCCACCUGCGCCUACCUCACCACCGUUUGCUCUCACGGAGGAACAAGUUGGUCAGGAAGCUGCACCACGGCCUGGCUCUUAAAGAGAGACUCUGAGAACCAGAGGUGGAGAUUCACUGACUUAGAAUUACUCUAAGCAGCUACAGCGUAAUGUCUUCGGAGAAGGUAUGUGCUGACUUGAUCAGAGGCGCAAAGGAAAAGACUCUCAAGGGGAAAGGACGGAUGCCCACCAAGACUGUGAGAAUAACUACAAGGAAAAUUCCUGUGGUGAAGGCUCUAGGACUUGGGAUCAUUUUUCAGGGUUUUUGUUUAGUUUUUGGCUGUGCCGCAUAGCAUAUGGGAUCUUAGUUCCCCAACCAGGGAUUGAACCUGUGCCCCCUGCAGUGGGAGCGCAGUCUCAACCACUGGACCACCAGGGAAGUCCCCUUCUCUUCUUUUAAAAAAUAAUUUUUUUGAGGCAUAAUUUACAUACCACAAAAAUCACUCAUUUUAAGUGCACAAUUCUCAGUUAUAAAAAUGAUUCUAGAGAGACAGGUGGGGAACCGUGGAGAGUAGAAGAGGUGGAGAGUCUAGGUAGGUGGACUGAAAAUAGAGAUCAUGGAAUUCCCUGGUGGCCUAGUGGUUAGGACUCCGUGAUCUCACUGCCAAGGGCCUGGGUUCCAUCCCCGAUCAGGGAACUAAUAUCCCGAAAGCCACACGGCACAGCCGAAAAAAAAAACAAGAAGAGAAAAUAGAGAUCAAAGGAGAAGAUGGAGAGAAGAAAUGGUGCAGAUCUGAGAAGACAGAAUAGGGUAUCGAGGAGGGACUGAUAGGUGAUUCUCUCACCUGCACAUCGAGCUCCUGGCUUCGAGGGUCUUGCAGGAAGAACCGGAAGGCCGCCUCCCACACCGGGCAGUUGGUGUUAUAGACAGCCUGGAGAUGUGCAGGAUGUAAUCAAGUGAAGGAAGGACAGCUGUCAUCAGAAUCCUUCCCCUCGUGCUUCCCUGGUGGCACAGUGGUUAAGAAUCCACCUGCCAAUGCAGGGCACACGGGUUUGAGCCCUGUUGCGGGAAGAUCCCACAUGCUGCAGAGCAACUAAGCCCAUGCACUGCAACUACUGAGCUUGCGCUCUAGAGCCCGCGAGCCACAACUACUGAGCCUGUGCACCUAGAGCCUGUGCUCCGCAACAAGAGAAGCCACGACAAUGAGAAGCCCGCACACUGCAAUGAAGAGUAGCCCCUGCUCGCUGCAACUAGACAAAGCUUGCACACAGCAACAAAGACCCAAUGCAGCCAAAAAUAAAUAAAUAAAAUAAAUAAAGAUUAUAAGCGAAUAUUAUGAACAACUUUAUACAAAUAGUUA